This 253-nucleotide ribosomal RNA is filed under the name uncultured bacterium. RNAcentral's name for it is "partial 16S ribosomal RNA". It matches the Rfam family "Bacterial small subunit ribosomal RNA", at positions 524 to 776 of the family's 1533-position model. The record is from RNAcentral.
UACGUAGGGCGCAAGCGUUGUCCGGAAUUAUUGGGCGUAAAGAGCUCGUAGGCGGUUUGUCGCGUCUGCUGUGAAAACUCGGGGCUUAACUCCGGGCCUGCAGUGGGUACGGGCAGACUUGAGUACUGCAGGGGAGACUGGAAUUCCUGGUGUAGCGGUGGAAUGCGCAGAUAUCAGGAGGAACACCGGUGGCGAAGGCGGGUCUCUGGGCAGUAACUGACGCUGAGGAGCGAAAGCAUGGGGAGCGAACAGG